ACAACGUCGUUCCACCCAUCAUAUCUCUCACCCUAUCCGGUUAAGGAAUUGAUGUAUGGAAGUGUACAUUGGCCCCCCGUGCCUUACAGGUGUGGUCGGCUCAAAAUUUGGCCCUCGGGGAUGAGCGUCACGAUCAGUGGUGGUUUAAAAACCCCUUUGUCAUUGACCGGAAUUGUAUUGACUCACUCCAUAUCAGGCUAUGCAGACCCUUGGUUGUUGGUAGCACGACAUUCACUUU
This 238-nucleotide ribosomal RNA is filed under the name Dysosma pleiantha. Its description in RNAcentral is "partial 5.8S ribosomal RNA". Lineage: Eukaryota; Viridiplantae; Streptophyta; Magnoliopsida; Ranunculales; Berberidaceae. The record is from RNAcentral.